This 253-nucleotide ribosomal RNA is filed under the name uncultured bacterium. Its description in RNAcentral is "partial 16S ribosomal RNA". It matches the Rfam family "Bacterial small subunit ribosomal RNA", at positions 524 to 776 of the family's 1533-position model. The record is from RNAcentral.
UACAGAGGUCCCAAGCGUUGUUCGGAUUCAUUGGGCGUAAAGGGUGCGUAGGCGGCGCGGUAAGUCGGGUGUGAAAUCUCGGAGCUUAACUCCGAAACUGCAUUCGAUACUGCCGUGCUUGAGGACUGGAGAGGAGACUGGAAUUUACGGUGUAGCGGUGAAAUGCGCAGAUAUCAGGAAGAACACCGAUGGCGAAGGCAGUUCUCUGGGACGGUACUGACGCUGAGACGCGAAAGCGUGGGGAGCGAACAGG